GACAAACGCUGGCGGCGUGCCUAAUACAUGCAAGUAGAACGCUGAAGGAGGAGCUUGCUUCUCUGGAUGAGUUGCGAACGGGUGAGUAACGCGUAGGUAACCUGCCUGGUAGCGGGGGAUAACUAUUGGAAACGAUAGCUAAUACCGCAUAACAGUAGAUAUCGCAUGAUAUCUACUUGAAAGGUGCAAUUGCAUCACUACCAGAUGGACCUGCGUUGUAUUAGCUAGUUGGUGAGGUAACGGCUCACCAAGGCGACGAUACAUAGCCGACCUGAGAGGGUGAUCGGCCACACUGGGACUGAGACACGGCCCAGACUCCUACGGGAGGCAGCAGUAGGGAAUCUUCGGCAAUGGACGGAAGUCUGACCGAGCAACGCCGCGUGAGUGAAGAAGGUUUUCGGAUCGUAAAGCUCUGUUGUAAGAGAAGAACGAGUGUGAGAGUGGAAAGUUCACACUGUGACGGUAUCUUACCAGAAAGGGACGGCUAACUACGUG
Molecule: ribosomal RNA, 495 nt
Filed under: uncultured bacterium
Lineage: Bacteria
Description: partial 16S ribosomal RNA
Rfam family: Bacterial small subunit ribosomal RNA
Source: RNAcentral